This 200-nucleotide ribosomal RNA is filed under the name uncultured bacterium. RNAcentral describes it as "partial 16S ribosomal RNA". It matches the Rfam family "Bacterial small subunit ribosomal RNA", at positions 328 to 539 of the family's 1533-position model. The record is from RNAcentral.
ACGCUCGACACCUACGGGAGGUAGCAGUGGGGAAGUAUUGCACAAUGGGGGAAACCCGUGAUGCAGCGACGCCGCGUGAGUGAAGAAGUAUUUCGGUAUGUAAAGCUCUAUCAGCAGGGAAGAAGAUGACGGUACCUGAGUAAGAAGCCCCGGCUAACUACGUGCCAGCAGCCGCGGUAAUCUGAGGCGGCUGGCAAGGC